AUUGGAGGUCUUCAACUUGACGUUAAAAUAAUAAUUAUCUUUCAGUAUAACUCAGUUUGGGUAGUAACCAGAACAACUAUACUGAUCACUGACAAUUCAUUGGUUCAGACGAACUCAUAGACUCACGUGUUUUUCGUUUAGUGGUAAAUAACGUCGAUAUUGUUGAAGAAAUGUUCUUGGUUACUAGGUAAACAGCCACUGUCUUGGGGCUCUCCAGUCUCUCUAGAAUCCAAAAGACGACAAGAUUAUGGAUGAAAAUAUAACUGUUGGGGAAUUAUCAGUUAGCCAUGAGACAGACAGAGCUUUUAGCUUUGCUGCUGCACCAAAGUCACUACGACAGAAUUUGAUCAGGCAGGGGAAGGGCAGUGAGGAAGCAGUCAGUUGUGCUGCCAUAGAAAUACAGAGGGUCUGGAGAGGAUAUAGAACAAGGU
Long non-coding RNA from Lingula anatina, 431 nucleotides. NCBI's taxonomy places the organism in Eukaryota, Metazoa, Brachiopoda, Lingulata, Lingulida, Lingulidae. The record is from RefSeq and is a predicted model, not a curated record.